GAGUUUGAUCCUGGCUCAGAUUGAACGCUGGCGGCACGCCUUACACAUGCAAGUCGCGCGGUCAAAAUGAGGGGGCUUGCCCCCGAAAGACGAGCGGCGGACGGGUGAGUAAUGCGCGGGAACGCGCCCUUUGGAGGGGGACAACCUUGGGAAACCAGGGCUAAUACCGCAUAACCUCCACGGAGCAAAGCGGGGGAUUUCUUCGGAAACCUCGCGCCAAAGGAGCGGCCCGCGUCCGAUUAGUUUGAUGGCGGGGUAACAGCCCACCAUGACGACCAUCGGUAGCUGGUCUGAGAGGAUGAUCAGCCACACCGGGACUGAGACACGGCCCGGACUCCUACGGGAGGCAGCAGUGGGGAAUAUUGGACAAUGGGGGAAACCCUGAUCCAGCGAUGCCGCGUGUGUGAAGAAGGCCCUCGGGUUGUAAAGCACUUUCGCAGGGGAAGAAACGGCGCGCUCUAACAUAGCGCGACACUGACGGUACCCUGAAAAGAAGCGCCGGCUAAUUCCGUGCCAGCAGCCGCGGUAAUACGGAAGGCGCAAGCGUUAAUCGGAAUGACUGGGCGUAAAGCGUGCGCAGGCGGCCGCGCAAGUCGGAUGUGAAAGCCCCGGGCUC
This 616-nucleotide ribosomal RNA is filed under the name uncultured bacterium. RNAcentral's name for it is "bacterial SSU rRNA". It matches the Rfam family "Bacterial small subunit ribosomal RNA", at positions 9 to 610 of the family's 1533-position model. The record is from RNAcentral.